Oreochromis aureus is the source of this 461-nucleotide long non-coding RNA. The record is from Ensembl. NCBI's taxonomy places the organism in Eukaryota, Metazoa, Chordata, Actinopteri, Cichliformes, Cichlidae.
UGGACAGUAGAGAAGAAUCCAAGAGGAAUUUUCUGGUGUUAUUAAUCCCUGCAGGUCUCACAACCAAGGAAGAGGAGGAAGGAUGAAGGAGUUUUUGGCUCCUGAACCUAUCAGCGGGGGUAGAAGAAAACCUAAACAAACACCAGGUCCCCAGUGGGGUGCGAACCAAGAUAUCCUCACUGAUAAACCUGCAAAUGACUUCUGUGCCACCUUUCUGACUUCCCAAUGCGGAUUUUACCUUUCUGCAAAAUGCUACUGUUAUCUCUUCCUUCUGGCCUUUCUGGAUGUUUGCACGGACCCUGACGCCCACCUGCUGACGACACUCGCUCAGGCCCAAGUGGAGUUUUAAAGUGUGGCAACAACACGGAGGUAGCAGACUCAGCGCUGACAGACAUUUCUUCAUGGCUGAAUCAUUUUUCCUUCUUAAUGAUGCUCGUUUGUUUCCUCGUUAGAUUCCCACA